This is a long non-coding RNA of Cotesia glomerata, 159 nucleotides long. RefSeq lists it as uncharacterized. The record is from RefSeq and is a predicted model, not a curated record. Lineage: Eukaryota; Metazoa; Arthropoda; Insecta; Hymenoptera; Braconidae. The transcript has 2 exons.
GAGUGUAAAUUUUCUUGGCUCAAGAAAAUAUUAAGAAAGGUUGUAAAUUUCUUAAAUGAAGUCAAAGUUUCUGGAGCCAAGAAAAUUUUUUCUUGCUCCAAAAUAACUUUCGUUUUCCUUAAAAUUUUUUUGGCGCAAGAAACUUGUUUUUUGUGUGUA